GCUUAAUUAGUUUAUGAAAAAUGUUAGAUUGUGGAUUUAAAGAAGUUUAGACAUUAGGUA
RNAcentral lists this transfer RNA (60 nucleotides) under Ornithodoros noorsveldensis. RNAcentral describes it as "tRNA-His". Lineage: Eukaryota; Metazoa; Arthropoda; Arachnida; Ixodida; Argasidae. The record is from RNAcentral.